This 237-nucleotide ribosomal RNA is filed under the name uncultured bacterium. Its description in RNAcentral is "partial 16S ribosomal RNA". It matches the Rfam family "Bacterial small subunit ribosomal RNA", at positions 524 to 760 of the family's 1533-position model. The record is from RNAcentral.
UACGAAGGGGGCUAGCGUUGUUCGGAAUCACUGGGCGUAAAGCGCACGUAGGCGGAUCUUUAAGUCAGGGGUGAAAUCCCAAGGCUCAACCUUGGAACUGCCUUUGAUACUGGGGAUCUCGAGUCCGGAAGAGGUGAGUGGAACUGCGAGUGUAGAGGUGAAAUUCGUAGAUAUUCGCAAGAACACCAGUGGCGAAGGCGGCUCACUGGUCCGGUACUGACGCUGAGGUGCGAAAGC